UUCCGUAGGUGAACCUGCGGAAGGAUCAUUCA
Molecule: ribosomal RNA, 32 nt
Filed under: Mortierella alpina
Lineage: Eukaryota; Fungi; Mortierellomycota; Mortierellomycetes; Mortierellales; Mortierellaceae
Description: partial 18S ribosomal RNA
Source: RNAcentral